Molecule: transfer RNA, 74 nt
Filed under: Acidobacteriota bacterium
Lineage: Bacteria; Pseudomonadati; Acidobacteriota
Description: tRNA-Cys
Rfam family: tRNA
About the family: Transfer RNA (tRNA) molecules are approximately 80 nucleotides in length. Their secondary structure includes four short double-helical elements and three loops (D, anti-codon, and T loops).
Source: RNAcentral
GUACGGCUUGCCGAGAGGUCAGGCGCUGGAUUGCAAGCCCAGUUACGUCGGUUCGAUUCCGACGCCGUACUCCA